GGUUUUGUCCGGAACCGUCGCGGUUUCAGAAUCGCAAAACU
This 41-nucleotide ribosomal RNA is filed under the name Mucochytrium quahogii. RNAcentral describes it as "labyrinthulid quahog parasite QPX partial Bacterial large subunit ribosomal RNA". Lineage: Eukaryota; Bigyra; Thraustochytrida; Thraustochytriidae. The record is from RNAcentral.